GAAAUUGAACUCGCUGUGAAGAUGCAGUGUACCCGCGGCAAGACGGAAAGACCCCGUGAACCUUUACUAUAGCUUGACACUGAACAUUGAGCCUUGAUGUGUAGGAUAGGUGGGAGGCUUUGAAGUGUGGACGCCAGUCUGCAUGGAGCCGGCCUUGAAAUACCACCCUUUAAUGUUUGAUGUUCUAACGUGGACCCGUGAUCCGGGUUGCGGACAGUGUCUGGUGGGUAGUUUGACUGGGGCGGUCUCCUCCUAAAGAGUAACGGAGGAGCACGAAGGUUGGCUAAUCCUGGUCGGACAUCAGGAGGUUAGUGCAAUGGCAUAAGCCAGCUUGACUGCGAGCGUGACGGCGCGAGCAGGUGCGAAAGCAGGUCAUAGUGAUCCGGUGGUUCUGAAUGGAAGGGCCAUCGCUCAACGGAUAAAAGGUACUCCGGGGAUAACAGGCUGAUACCGCCCAAGAGUUCAUAUCGACGGCGGUGUUUGGCACCUCGAUGUCGGCUCAUCACAUCCUGGGGCUGAAGUAGGUCCCAAGGGUAUGGCUGUUCGCCAUUUAAAGUGGUACGCGAGCUGGGUUUAGAACGUCGUGAGACAGUUCGGUCCCUAUCUGCCGUGGGCGCUGGAGAA
Molecule: ribosomal RNA, 624 nt
Filed under: Shigella sonnei
Lineage: Bacteria; Pseudomonadati; Pseudomonadota; Gammaproteobacteria; Enterobacterales; Enterobacteriaceae
Description: partial 23S ribosomal RNA
Rfam family: Bacterial large subunit ribosomal RNA
Source: RNAcentral